Passer domesticus (house sparrow) is the source of this 919-nucleotide long non-coding RNA. RefSeq lists it as uncharacterized. The record is from RefSeq and is a predicted model, not a curated record. Lineage: Eukaryota; Metazoa; Chordata; Aves; Passeriformes; Passeridae. The transcript has 4 exons.
AUUCCUUGCUGAAUCACACCAAUUUUAUCCAGAUUUAAAAAAUAAAAAUAAAAAAUAAAACCCCAAACUAAACAAGUUUGAUGUAGAUAUAUCAGCCUAAGAUAUCUAGGCAAAAGUGAGCCAGACUGAAUUCAGAUCACAGGAGUACUGUCCUUUCUGUUUAAUUCAAAAUCUGCAUUAACUACCUAUUUGACUCUCUGGUAACAUUAAAUAAGGAAAGUGUUCUGAGGAAAAGGACAUACUAGCUAAGUGUACCAGCCUUAUUACACAGACAUUCCAGGAGAUCAGUAAAGAGAACCCAAACGCAAGCAUUCCAAUUUAAUGGACUUCUUUGCAUAAAGGUGAAGCUUCUGCACAGAACUGAAUCUUUGAACAGGGUUGUAUGUCACAGUGUGUGUGUUGAAGGGGGCUCACAAAGGCUUCUCAGGCCAGAUGGGAUGGAACUCCCUGCAAAUCUGUUCUGAACUCAUAUAGGCAGCUGACCAUUUAGAAUUACAGGACCAACUAGAUGGGGAAAAAAAUUGACAUCAUUGAGUCCCACCUGUGACAUUACACUACCUUGUCAUCUAGAUCAUGCUCCCUUGCCCUUUUCUGGACUCCUGAAUGUUCUUCCUGAAGUGAGUAGCCCAGAGCUGGACCCAGCACUCAAGGUGCAGCCUUGCCAGUGGUAAUCAUUCCGGAGCUUAAAAGAACAGUUCCUGCUGACUGUUUACUAGAACCUCAUUUCUGCUGUGCACUAGGCACUAUUUCGUUCAUUCAUUGGAUAACAAUAACUGAAAAUUAAUUUCAUAUCAGCAUACGUUUGGAUGGGAAAAUCUUUAUUGUCUGGUCCUAAAUAAGGUUAUUAAGGCUUCAAAUGAAGCUGACUCACUUCCUGCUUUUUGGUGAACAGAUGCACAGAACAAGGGAAUAAAGUAUA